UCUCAAAAGAAAGUUCUGAACUGUUAGUAAGCUAGAAAAAACGAUAUUAAAUACAUACCGUCCAUGCAUGUAAGGAAUUGAGCGACAAUCCUACGUUCCAUUUCUCUUUGAGCACUUUCACGUUUGGGAGUAACGGCAUCAAUUUCAUCUAUAAACAUCAAACAGGGGGCUAACGAUUUAGCCUCUUCAAAGACCUCCCUAACUUUUUUUUCAGAUUCGCCGGACAUCCCAGAAACAAUAGAGGGAGCAGAUAUAGAGAUGAAGGGAACACCCAAUUCGUUGGCUAAUGCGUUGGCUAACAUAGUUUUACCACAACCGGGAGGACCAUGUAACAGUACACCCCUGGGAGGAUGAAUUCCAGUAUAUUGGUAUACUUCAGGAUGCUUGAUCGGCAUUGCGACUAGCUCAAGCAAUUCGUUAAUACAAUCAUCUAGUCCUCCUAUAUCACUCAAAGAAAUGUCACUUGGUGGUUCUCUAUUCGCUUCCGCUUUAAAAAAGUGUUAGUUUAUAUAAAUCACUUUUCCACUAAAAUAAAUUCUAACAAACCUUUUUGACGCUUUGAACCAUUAGUCUUGGAUCGACGAUCUUUUCUUUUGGCAGAUCCAGUAAUCGAUUCCUGACCAACAGACUUUUUCUCAUCUUCUCCAUCUAUUUCUUUCAAGUUUGGAGAGCUCCAAAGACUAGUGAUGCUUUUGUUAAUCACAUUGGUAUCCUGUAAAUAAUACUUAGUAAAAAUGGUUUUCAUAAAAAUGCAAAAGAGCAGCAAAGCAUACCUUAACUUCCAUCAAGUUUGAGUCAGAUUGUUCUUCCAUGUCGCUAUCAACAAGUACUAAAUCCUGAGAGGAAGCUAAUUUUUCCUCCACUUCGGCCUUCAAUGUGUCUAAAACUUUUUCGACAACUUUUUCAAGGAUUGGCUUCUUAAUUCUUCGAAGAGACAUGUCCCUUUCUUGAACAAAUUGAAUAGCCCGACGAGUAGAAACUGGCCACUCUUCAAUUUCUGUUUGUUGAAUGGUAUCUUUCAAAGAAACCAAACGUUCAUGAAUUUUCCGCUCCAAAUCACGACUAAGCGAUGUACCAGACCUUCUCAUUGUUUUUUCUUUUAUAUAAUAAAAAAAAAUCAACAAAAUAAAAGGAAUUAUUAAUCAAUUCCUGCCUUUCCUAUCAACCGAGCAGUAUAUGUGCUUUCGCCAAUGUUUGCAGCCUUCUAGCUGAAGCUUAGUGCAAGGACGAACAUAUGAGUACUGGGAGUUUCUUAUUGCAAAUUUCAGUUGAAAGCAUUGCAUACCACAUUUGUUCAGUGGAUUUUUAGUAAGUUGUAAAUCUUGCUGAUAAAUUUCUCAAUUUCUCUUCAGCUGCCCCCACAAUUAUGCUUACUUACUCAUUCCUACUUGAAAUCACUUAUAUUAGAAAUUGACUCUUUACUAGAUGAUUUACUCAUUUUGUUGACCAUCAAUGCGUAAGAAAGAUAUAUUUGAUUAAGUUUUUACGUACUAGCUUAGUAUCCCCAUUCAUAUACUAUUCAUACCUAGUUUUUAUACAAUUUCAGAAUUAUGAUAAUUAAGAAAAACUCCACUUAAGGAUAUGCGUAAAGAAGCCCGAGAAUCUGUCAAUCCAGGAGUAUGUCAGCAAACACU
Schizosaccharomyces pombe (fission yeast) is the source of this 1634-nucleotide non-coding RNA. The record is from the annotation of a GenBank genome assembly. Lineage: Eukaryota; Fungi; Ascomycota; Schizosaccharomycetes; Schizosaccharomycetales; Schizosaccharomycetaceae.